GGGGGUAAAUUAAUAAUUUAAAUUAUAAUAAAAAAAAUUUUAAUAUUAAAAAAAAAUAAUGGGGGUUAGAGUAUUUUUAAUAGAAAAAAUUAGUAGUUUUAUAGUUAAUUAUUACUGUAAAGGAAAUUAUAAAUAAUUGAAAAUUAAUUAAAAAAAAAGUAAAUUUAAUUUGUUGUAUCUUGUGUAUCAGAGUUUAUUAAAUAUUAGUAAUUUAUUUAAAUAAAUCUCGAAUUUAAAAGAGUUAAUUAAUUAAAAAAGUUAAUGUUGAAUAAUUAUUUUAAAUAAUUAAUUAGAAAUGAAAUGUUAAUCGUUUUUAAAUAUAUCUAGUUUUUUUAGAAAAAAAUUUAAUUUUAAAUUAAAAUAAUUUUAUAAUUUUUUAAUUAAUUAUAAAAAUUUAAAAUUUAAUAUUUUAGGGGAUAAGCUUUAAAUUAAAAUUUUAUAAUUAAUAAAUAAAAAUUAAAAUUUUUAAAAUUUAUAUUGUUUAAAAAUUAUAAUUUAUUAUAAAAAAUUUUAAUUAAAAUAAAAUUUAAAUUAAAUUUAAUUUUUUAUAAAAAAAUGAUUUUUAAUUAAUAAAAAUUAAUAAUAAUGAUAAAAUUAGUAUAUUAUAAUUAAUAAAAAAAAAAUUAGUUAAAAUUAAAUUAAAGGAAUUCGGCAAAAUUUUAUAUUCACUUGUUUAUCAAAAACAUGUCUUUUUGAAAAUAAUUUAAAGUCUAAUCUGCCCACUGAUAUAAUUAUUAAAGGGCUGCAGUAUAUUGACUGUACAAAGGUAGCAUAAUCAUUAGUCUUUUAAUUGAAGACUUGUAUGAAAGAUUUGAUGAAAUAUUAACUGUCUCUGAUUUAUUUAUAUAAAAUUUAAUUUUUUAGUUAAAAAGCUAAAAUAAAAUUAAAAGACGAGAAGACCCUAUAGAGUUUUAUAAUUAUAAUAAUUAAUAAAUAUCUUAUUUAUAUAUAAAUAAAGAAAAAUUAUUUUAAUUAUUUUAUUGGGGUGAUAAAAAAAUUAAAAAAACUUUUUUUUUAUUUAAACAUAAAUAAGUGAAAGAAUGAUCCAUUAAUAAUGAUUAUAAGAAAAAAUUACCUUAGGGAUAACAGCGUAAUAUUUUUUUUUAGUACAAAUAAAAAAAAAAGUUUGCGACCUCGAUGUUGGAUUAAGAUAAAAUUUAAAUGCAAAAGUUUAAAAUUUUGAUCUGUUCGAUCAUUAAAAUCUUACAUGAUCUGAGUUCAAACCGGUGUAAGCCAGGUUGGUUUCUAUCUUUAAUAAAAAUAAAUAUUUUAGUACGAAAGGAUCAAAUAUUUGAAAUAAUUUUAAUUAUAAGAAUAUUAAUAAAUUUAUAU
This 1332-nucleotide ribosomal RNA is filed under the name Nymphalis c-aureum. RNAcentral describes it as "Polygonia c-aureum 16S ribosomal RNA". Lineage: Eukaryota; Metazoa; Arthropoda; Insecta; Lepidoptera; Nymphalidae. The record is from RNAcentral.